RNAcentral lists this ribosomal RNA (311 nucleotides) under Chlorobiota bacterium. RNAcentral describes it as "Chlorobi bacterium (hot springs metagenome) partial 23S ribosomal RNA". It matches the Rfam family "Bacterial large subunit ribosomal RNA", at positions 2619 to 2925 of the family's 2925-position model. The record is from RNAcentral. Lineage: Bacteria; Pseudomonadati; Chlorobiota.
UCGUGAGACAGUUCGGUCCCUAUCUGUGGCGGGCGGAGGAUGCUUGAGGGGUCUCGCCCCCAGUACGAGAGGACCGGGGUGACCGGACCUCUGGUGUGGCUGUUGUCGCGCCAGCGGCAUAGCAGCGUAGCCAUGUCCGGAAAGGAUAAGCGCUGAAAGCAUCUCAAGCGCGAAGCCUACCCCAAGAUGAGGCAUCCCACACCGUUAAGGUGGUAAGGACCCAGGGAGACUACCUGGUUGAUAGGCUCCACGUGUACGCGCGGCAACGCGCUCAGCGGAGGAGUACUAAUCGUCCGAGGUCUUACCACCCC